RNAcentral lists this unclassified non-coding RNA (269 nucleotides) under fungal sp. RNAcentral describes it as "partial internal transcribed spacer region". The stretch from base 1 to 46 matches the Rfam family "Eukaryotic small subunit ribosomal RNA", at positions 1786 to 1831 of the family's 1831-position model. The record is from RNAcentral. Lineage: Eukaryota; Fungi.
AAGUCGUAACAAGGUUUCCGUAGGUGAACCUGCGGAAGGAUCAUUCAUGAAUUACUAGCAUGCUCUAUGCUGCUAAUAAUCAUCGCUCUUGUGAACCGAAUGUGAGCUGUGCUGCUGUUUGCUGCUGCGGGGAGCAAUCUCCGCCGGGCGAGCGGGCCAGUCUUACAAACACACACACACACACAUUGUCUUUGUUUAUAGCUUAUCAAACACACACGUAUUUUCAAUAAUACACACAACAACUUUCAGCAACGGAUCUCUAGGCUCUC